This 807-nucleotide ribosomal RNA is filed under the name Bacillus sp. (in: firmicutes). Its description in RNAcentral is "bacterial SSU rRNA". It matches the Rfam family "Bacterial small subunit ribosomal RNA", at positions 79 to 870 of the family's 1533-position model. The record is from RNAcentral. Lineage: Bacteria; Bacillati; Bacillota; Bacilli; Caryophanales; Bacillaceae.
CUUGCUCCCUGAAGUCAGCGGCGGACGGGUGAGUAACACGUGGGCAACCUGCCUGUAAGACUGGGAUAACUCCGGGAAACCGGGGCUAAUACCGGAUAAUUCUUUCCCUCACAUGAGGGAAAGCUGAAAGAUGGUUUCGGCUAUCACUUACAGAUGGGCCCGCGGCGCAUUAGCUAGUUGGUGAGGUAACGGCUCACCAAGGCGACGAUGCGUAGCCGACCUGAGAGGGUGAUCGGCCACACUGGGACUGAGACACGGCCCAGACUCCUACGGGAGGCAGCAGUAGGGAAUCUUCCGCAAUGGACGAAAGUCUGACGGAGCAACGCCGCGUGAGUGAUGAAGGUUUUCGGAUCGUAAAACUCUGUUGUUAGGGAAGAACAAGUACCGGAGUAACUGCCGGUACCUUGACGGUACCUAACCAGAAAGCCACGGCUAACUACGUGCCAGCAGCCGCGGUAAUACGUAGGUGGCAAGCGUUGUCCGGAAUUAUUGGGCGUAAAGCGCGCGCAGGCGGUUCCUUAAGUCUGAUGUGAAAGCCCCCGGCUCAACCGGGGAGGGUCAUUGGAAACUGGGGAACUUGAGUGCAGAAGAGAAGAGUGGAAUUCCACGUGUAGCGGUGAAAUGCGUAGAGAUGUGGAGGAACACCAGUGGCGAAGGCGACUCUUUGGUCUGUAACUGACGCUGAGGCGCGAAAGCGUGGGGAGCAAACAGGAUUAGAUACCCUGGUAGUCCACGCCGUAAACGAUGAGUGCUAAGUGUUAGAGGGUUUCCGCCCUUUAGUGCUGCAGCAAACGCAUUAAGCACUCC